UACAGAGGAUGCAAGCGUUAUCCGGAAUGAUUGGGCGUAAAGCGUCUGUAGGUGGCUUUUUAAGUCCGCCGUCAAAUCCCAGGGCUCAACUCUGGACAGGCGGUGGAAACUACCAAGCUAGAGUACGGUAGGGGCAGAGGGAAUUUCCGGUGUAGCGGUGAAAUGCGUAGAUAUCGGAAGGAACACCUGUGGCGAAAGCGGCUCACUGGACCAUUACUGACGCUGAGGCACGAAAGCUAGGGGAGCAAACAGG
RNAcentral lists this ribosomal RNA (253 nucleotides) under uncultured bacterium. RNAcentral describes it as "partial 16S ribosomal RNA". It matches the Rfam family "Bacterial small subunit ribosomal RNA", at positions 524 to 776 of the family's 1533-position model. The record is from RNAcentral.